This 73-nucleotide transfer RNA is filed under the name Actinomycetota bacterium. RNAcentral's name for it is "tRNA-Leu". It matches the Rfam family "tRNA". Rfam says of the family: Transfer RNA (tRNA) molecules are approximately 80 nucleotides in length. Their secondary structure includes four short double-helical elements and three loops (D, anti-codon, and T loops). Further hydrogen bonds mediate the characteristic L-shaped molecular structure. tRNAs have two regions of fundamental functional importance: the anti-codon, which is responsible for specific mRNA codon recognition, and the 3' end, to which the tRNAs corresponding amino acid is attached (by aminoacyl-tRNA synthetases). tRNAs cope with the degeneracy of the genetic code in two manners: having more than one tRNA (with a specific anti-codon) for a particular amino acid; and 'wobble' base-pairing, i.e. permitting non-standard base-pairing at the 3rd anti-codon position. The record is from RNAcentral. Lineage: Bacteria; Bacillati; Actinomycetota.
GCCCGCGUAGCCCAAUGGCAGAGGCAGGAGACUUAAAAUCUCCCAAGUGCGGGUUCGAGUCCCGCCGAGGGCA